This 466-nucleotide ribosomal RNA is filed under the name uncultured bacterium. RNAcentral describes it as "partial 16S ribosomal RNA". It matches the Rfam family "Bacterial small subunit ribosomal RNA", at positions 29 to 506 of the family's 1533-position model. The record is from RNAcentral.
ACGAACGCUGGCGGCUUGCUUAACACCUGCAAGUCGAACGGAAAGGCCCUGCUUUUGUGGGGUGCUCGAGUGGCGAACGGGUGAGUAACACGUGAGUAACCUGCCCUUGACUUUGGGAUAACUUCAGGAAACUGGGGCUAAUACCGGAUAGGAGCUCCUGCUGCAUGGUGGGGGUUGGAAAGUUUCGGCGGUUGGGGAUGGACUCGCGGCUUAUCAGCUUGUUGGUGGGGUAGUGGCUUACCAAGGCUUUGACGGGUAGCCGGCCUGAGAGGGUGACCGGCCACAGUGGGACUGGGAUACGGCCCAGACUCCUACGGGAGGCAGCAGUGGGGACUAUUGCAAAAUGGGCGGAAGCCUGAUGCAGCAACGCCGCGUGCGGGAUGACGGCCUUCGGGUUGUAAACCGCUUUCGCCUGUGACGAAGCGUGAGUGACGGUACUGGGUAAAGAAGCACCGGCUAACUACGU